This is a long non-coding RNA of Leopardus geoffroyi (Geoffroy's cat), 1973 nucleotides long. RefSeq lists it as uncharacterized. The transcript is spliced from 3 exons. The record is from RefSeq and is a predicted model, not a curated record. NCBI's taxonomy places the organism in Eukaryota, Metazoa, Chordata, Mammalia, Carnivora, Felidae.
CUCCUGCGAGAUUAUAGAGGAUCUAUGAAUUGCAGCCCUGAAAAUUUCCCCUGCCUGCCAGAAAUAAGCAUGAAGAAGUGGAGAAAAAAUUAAAGAUGAGAAUUCUAUUUUCAGACCCUGGUAAAGGAGGUUCCAGUUUGAGAGAAGCUAUGAAAAAAAAAAAUGUUCCCAAAUCAGUAACUGAGUCUUCUGUCAUUCAGCUUGCUUCCAGUUCACGCCUGCCUCGGCUAAGGCAGGGAUGCCACCAGAGCCCAGGUUUAGCAUCCGUAUCCUCCUUUUCCAUUAGCUGUCAUACCAACUCCUCUUUUACAUGGGCUCUGCUUUAUGCUCUUUGUCCCUUCCCCUCUCCCCUGCAGCCCUGCAACUCCCUUCUACCCUACCCACCCCCCUCCCCCACCUCAGGUCUCUUUAUUCCCUAUGGUUCUGCUGGAAGACUGAGAUACUAUAAUAAAAACAUUUACUGAAUGCUUUUUGUGUGUUCAUUACUGUUUUAAGUGCUGUAUACAUCUCAAGCCAAUAAACCCUCAUAUAGACUCUAUGAGAGAAGUACUAUUAUCCUCCCAAUUUGAUAGGUGAGAAACAUUAGGAAUUUAAAUAAGUUCCCCGAGGCCAUAUAUGUAAAGACAGAGCACAGAUUUGAACUAAAUUAGUCUGAGUCUAGAGCUUAUAUGAUUCAGCUCUACACAUGACAAUUAAUGCUGAGGUGUACACGAAUGCUCCUAGCUUAGUGUGCCAUCCUUUCCGGUCAGAUCUGGAUUUUAUGAUGAUUCCCAGAUAUGGUAUUUCUAGAUUCUAGAACCGGGGGAGGGUAUCCAAGAGGCACCCAGGCCUUUCAUAAUAACCCUCCAAACAUAUCGUUAGAUUGCGUCUUCCUUUCUUUCUUCUAUUAUUUUGUUAAUUGUCAAAUGACUUGCUUUUAUUUUAUUUAUGGCAGCAUUACUUUCAUCUAUACAACAACUCUUUCUGCUUCUGAAUUUCUAACUUACGAUGAAGCUGGUAUUUCAGAAUUAGGGAGGAUGUUGUUGCUAGAUAGACAAAUUUGCUAGCCGUCAUUUAAUCUAUCUGUAUGUUUUUUUCUCAGCCCUAUUGGCCUCAUAGAAGAAAGCAGAGAGUUACCCAUAGUCACCAGGGAUGCACACUAAGUUUGAAGAGAUUUAUUCUGGAAAUUAAUAAUGAUCUCAUAUUGCAGAUGAGAGCUCUGAAGCUAGAGAGGUGUGUAAUGAUAGAAACUCCUUGAGGCAAAAAUCAAGUUUUCAGCUGCUUAUGGCGACUGCUUAUGGAUCAAUAAAUUCUGGCUCAAAAGAUCUGCUUGGACAUCAUGAAAACAUGGGGACGUUGCCAAGAAGUGUGAUUCAGCCAUCAAAACUUGGGUAUAAGGAGAAGAGAAUGCGCCAAGUGGGUAUUCCCAAGUGUUAGAUUGGAUUGGAUUCUAAUUUACUAGUGGUUCCAUUGUGUUUGUGAAAAGUACAAAUUCCUGAAUUAUUGUCUCAGAAAUUAUAUUUCAUAGGUCUGAGGUAAGGCUUUGGAAUCUGCAUUUUAGCAAACUUCCUGGGUGGUUCUGAUGAAGUGGUUCUUAGCACUAUAAUUAGUUGCUUAUUAGCUAACACUAUUAGCUAUCAUGCAUAUUAUUUAUUAGACUAUUGGUUGGUAAUUAGCCAACACUAUUGCUCUGAGAAUUUUAAGGGACAGGCUGGCAGAUAGCCCAGAGCACUGACAGCACAAUUUGGAGCCAGUACUACUAAGGGAAUUCAAAUAAGUGAAAAAUACCUUGUAGGCAAGAAAAGUGUGGAAUGAAUUAGAAAGUUUUUAUUUUUUUUUCCCAAAGCUAUUCAAAGGGUGGAAUAAUGACCUGCUAAAGUGAAAAUUAGGUUGUGAAAGCCAAGGCAUGGAUUAUUUUAGGGGGAUGGUUAUUGGGCGCCUGGGUGGCUCAGUCAGUUAAGUGUCCAACUUUGGCUCAGGUCAUGAUCUCACAG